GGACUACCGGGGUAUCUAAUCCGUUUUGCUCCCCACGCUUUCAUGCCUCAAUGUCAGGAACAGAAUAGUCAACUGCCUUCGCCUUUUUGGUGGUCCUCCAUAGAUCAAUGGAUUUCACCCCUACACAUGGAGUUCCGUCAACCUCUUCUGUCCUCAAGCAGAAUAGUAUUACCAGCUUCCGUCGAGUUGAGCUCGGCUUCUACCAAUAACUUACCCUACCAUCUACGCAUCCUUUACGCCCAAUAAAUCCGGAUAACGUUUGCCACCUAUGUCUUACCGCGGCUGCUGGCAC
RNAcentral lists this ribosomal RNA (292 nucleotides) under uncultured bacterium. RNAcentral describes it as "partial 16S ribosomal RNA". The record is from RNAcentral.